GACGAACGCUGGCGGCGUGCUUAACACAUGCAAGUCGAACGGAAAGGCCCUGCUUGCCGGGUACUCGAGUGGCGAACGGGUGAGUAACACGUGGGUGAUCUGCCCUGCACUUCGGGAUAAGCCUGGGAAACUGGGUCUAAUACCGGAUAGGAGCCAUUUUUAGUGUGAUGGUUGGAAAGUUUUUUCGGUGUAGGAUGAGCUCGCGGCCUAUCAGCUUGUUGGUGGGGUAAUGGCCUACCAAGGCGGCGACGGGUAGCCGGCCUGGGAGGGUGGACGGCCACAUUGGCACUGGGAUACGGCCCAGGCGCCGACGGGAGGCAGCAGUGGGGAAUAUUGAACAAUGGGCGCAAGCCUGAUGCAGCGACGCCGCGGGGGGGAGGACGGUCUUCGGGUUGUAAACGCCUUUCGCUAGGGACGAAGCUGUUUGUGACGGUACCUAGAGAAGAAGCACCGGCUAACUACGUG
Molecule: ribosomal RNA, 465 nt
Filed under: uncultured bacterium
Lineage: Bacteria
Description: partial 16S ribosomal RNA
Rfam family: Bacterial small subunit ribosomal RNA
Source: RNAcentral